AUGAUUACUAUUACUCUAUGAAAAAGUGUGUCCAGCCCUGCUGUAGGCUCUAGAAUUCUAGGAUCCAUUUAGAAUAGAUCAUGGUUUAGAUGAGCAGCGCAUUGAUGUUGAUGUACUGAGACACUAGAAUCAUAGAAUGUGUUAUGAUGUGACGUCUAACAAUCCCAUGUAGCUGAUUUGGGGGUGUCUCUGGGUCCUCUUGCACUUGUUCAACUUCAUAGUUUAUUUAGUUUAUCAGGAGAUGAAACUGAAUAACAGAAAUAGUACAGGGUUGUUUUACAUUGAGGGAGAGGGAGCUGAGCUCUGGUGUGCUCCGUUCCCAAUUUAACCUAUGGUCUCCCUGUGUUUGCGUGGGUUCUCCACAGGUAUUCCUGCUUCCUCCCACCAUCCAAAGUCAUGCACUAAUAGAUUAAGUGGUUAAUCUAAAUUUCCCAUACGUGUGAAUGUGAGUGACUGGUUGUUCGUCUCUAUAUAUGUCAGCGAUAAACUGGCGACAUGCCCAGGGUGAACCCCACCUUCACCUGAAAUGUAGCUGGGAUAGGCUUCAACACCCCCGCUACUCUCUCGAGGAUAAAGUGGUUCAGAA
Long non-coding RNA from Sphaeramia orbicularis (orbiculate cardinalfish), 586 nucleotides. RefSeq lists it as uncharacterized. The record is from RefSeq and is a predicted model, not a curated record. The transcript has 3 exons. Lineage: Eukaryota; Metazoa; Chordata; Actinopteri; Kurtiformes; Apogonidae.